RNAcentral lists this transfer RNA (85 nucleotides) under Felis catus (domestic cat). It matches the Rfam family "tRNA". From Rfam's summary of the family: Transfer RNA (tRNA) molecules are approximately 80 nucleotides in length. Their secondary structure includes four short double-helical elements and three loops (D, anti-codon, and T loops). Lineage: Eukaryota; Metazoa; Chordata; Mammalia; Carnivora; Felidae. The record is from Rfam by way of RNAcentral.
GCCUGGGUGGCUCAGUCAGUUAAGCAUCUGCCUUCAGCUCAGGUCAUGAUCUCAUGGUUUGUGGGUUCGAGCCCCACAUCAGGCU